AGGUAAAUUAUAAGUCCUUGAUUAAAAUUUUUACUUGGAAUGAUAUGUGCAUAUCAAAAGAUUAGAUAAUGAUGGGUCCAAUCAGAUUUUCACUAGGAAAAAGUUACUAAUUUAACAGAUUUUCACAGGGGAAAUUAUUGUCAUUAGGCCUUUAGUAAUUUAUUGUUCUGAUGCUUGUUUCAAUGGCUAGAGUUUAAAUCUUAUAGGGUGGUUGGUUCAGAUACAUAUAUAGUAUAGACAUAUGCCAAUCAAAAGUAUAUAUAUUGCAGAUUUUAGUUCUGGAACUCAUUGGAUUUCUAUAUUUCACUAUUUUAUAUUUUAUAUCUUGUGAUUUGUUUUAUAUAUCAAUUUAUGUGAGAAUUUUUAAGUAUGAGUUUGCACUAUUUAUAGGAUGGAAUAAUGGUAUAUGCAAAAGUAUGUGUACAGUAAUGUGCCCACUGCCCAAACCAAAUUGAACAACAAAAAAUCUGUUUACAUUCUCAAAAAUGUUACUUUUAACAAGAUUUACACUGAGAAAUAGUCUUGAAUUCGUAGAAGCCCACAUUCAUAAGAGGCCCAUUCUUUUCUUAAGUAAUUUUUUUUUUCAAUGUACUUCCUUAAUGAUGUGAAUCAAUGGAGAAAGUGGGAAAAUUUCUAGUUGAGUGCACUUUACCUUGUAAUUUUGAACUACUAACAGGGAAUAGAUAUUAAUGUAACAUUGCGACGCAUUGGAGUCAAAAAAUGUUCUAACAUCUAUGAGGAGAUUCCACCAAUCUAUCCUCUCAACCACAACCCACGCUAGUACAACCAAUAUCUGAAUAAUUCUAAGACACUAAAUGUCAAUUUGUAAAUAAAAAUCAUUAUAAUUAGUGUUUUUACAAGGUUUCCUUAGCCAAAUACCCAUAGAAAUUUAGCUAUUUUUUUUAUUUGCCAACCAUAUAAAAAAGUUGUCUAUUGUAAAUUGUAAAACCAUAUCAGAUGGAUUUACUUGAUGAAUUACAAAUUAGAGGUGAGUGAUUUUUAUAUUACAAACUAAAUUUAUGUUACAACACAAAAGUUAAGUAAUAACUAUGGUGACCAUAGAUGAAAUUAAGCUUGAUCUUAAUAAUUCUUUAAUUAGUUCUAUUUUACUUUUACUAAAGUAUAUGACUUUAAUAUAUAUGUCAAUCAUAGUUAUUAAAAGCGC
This 1165-nucleotide unclassified non-coding RNA is filed under the name Hevea brasiliensis (rubber tree). The record is from RNAcentral. Lineage: Eukaryota; Viridiplantae; Streptophyta; Magnoliopsida; Malpighiales; Euphorbiaceae.